This 462-nucleotide ribosomal RNA is filed under the name uncultured bacterium. RNAcentral describes it as "partial 16S ribosomal RNA". It matches the Rfam family "Bacterial small subunit ribosomal RNA", at positions 28 to 507 of the family's 1533-position model. The record is from RNAcentral.
GAUGAACGCUGACAGAAUGCUUAACACAUGCAAGUCAUUGGCGAAGCUGCGCUUGCGCAGUCUAGCCAAGGCGGACGGGUGAGUAACGCGUAAGGAACUUGCCCUGCAGACAGGGAUAACAGACGGAAACGACUGAUAACACCUGGUAUUGUCAUGCUGGCGCAUGCCGGCCUGAUGAAAGGAGACGCUGCAGGAGAGCCUUGCGUCCUAUUAGCUGGUUGGUGGGGUAACGGCCCACCAAGGCGAUGAUAGGUAGCCGGCCUGAGAGGGUGAACGGCCACAAGGGGACUGAGAGACGGCCGUUAAUCCUACGGGAGGCAGCAGUGGGGAAUAGUGGACAAUGGGGGCAACCAUGAUGCAGCAAUUCUGUGUGCAAGAAGAAGGUUUUCGGAUUGUAAAGAGCUUUCAGCAGGGAAGAAGAAAGUGACGGUACCUGCAGAAGAAGCGACGGCUAAAUACGUG